CUCUCACAUUGCAAAUCGCACAGUCUCUAGCAAACAAAUAACUCCUCAGAAAGAACACAAGCUAGAGUCUUUUAUACCUCUCCUUCACAGUCUCUUCCCACAUCAACAAAAAUCUCCUUAGAAAGAACGAAACAAGUCUGAAACAAAGCUUCCAAACAACAAUAGAAACUCAACCAACGAUCAAACAAACUGUGGAUCAGGACCACUCCAAAUCUCCCCACACCUCUAUUCGAUAGUACCCGCUGCCCAGGGAAGCGACCGCCAAAUUCCAUUUGACAGGUGCCUUUAUUUCUUCAGAAACUUACAAGACUCUGCUUCGAUUCCUAAAGCUCUCUGCUGAAUGUUUGCUUCAAUCAUAAAACAAUACUGCACAUUGCUCAAAGGGAACUAGCAACAAGAAUUGCUUCAGGCAAGAAGAUGUCAAUCAGCUUGCUAUCACAUAUACAUCCUGGUCAUUUAGACUGGACAAUAUGUGUUAUAAUAUCUAGAAUAUGGGAAUAUAGAGGAAAGAAUGAUGAAGACCAUAUCAAACAUUUGGAUCUGGUGAUAAUCG
This is a long non-coding RNA of Phragmites australis (common reed), 553 nucleotides long. RefSeq lists it as uncharacterized. The record is from RefSeq and is a predicted model, not a curated record. The transcript has 4 exons. Lineage: Eukaryota; Viridiplantae; Streptophyta; Magnoliopsida; Poales; Poaceae.